Molecule: ribosomal RNA, 253 nt
Filed under: uncultured bacterium
Lineage: Bacteria
Description: partial 16S ribosomal RNA
Rfam family: Bacterial small subunit ribosomal RNA
Source: RNAcentral
UACGUAGGUGGCAAGCGUUGUCCGGAUUUACUGGGCGUAAAGAGCGCGCAGGCGGUCAGAUAAGUCGCGUGUGAAAGCCCCCGGCUCAACUGGGGAGGGUCACGCGAUACUGAUCGACUCGAAGGCAGGAGAGGGUAGUGGAAUUCCCGGUGUAGUGGUGAAAUGCGUAGAUAUCGGGAGGAACACCAGUGGCGAAGGCGACUACCUGGCCUGUUCUUGACGCUGAGGCGCGAAAGCUAGGGGAGCAAACGGG